AUUGAACGCUGGCGGCAGGCCUAACACAUGCAAGUCGAGCGGAUGAAGGGAGCUUGCUCUUGGAUUCAGCGGCGGACGGGUGAGUAAUGCCUAGGAAUCUGCCUGGUAGUGGGGGAUAACGUCCGGAAACGGGCGCUAAUACCGCAUACGUCCUGAGGGAGAAAGUGGGGGAUCUUCGGACCUCACGCUAUCAGAUGAGCCUAGGUCGGAUUAGCUAGUUGGUGGGGUAAAGGCCUACCAAGGCGACGAUCCGUAACUGGUCUGAGAGGAUGAUCAGUCACACUGGAACUGAGACACGGUCCAGACUCCUACGGGAGGCAGCAGUGGGGAAUAUUGGACAAUGGGCGAAAGCCUGAUCCAGCCAUGCCGCGUGUGUGAAGAUGGUCUUCGGAUUGUAAAGCACUUUAAGUUGGGAGGAAGGGCAGUAAGUUAAUACCUUGCUGUUUUGACGUUACCAACAGAAUAAGCACCGGCUAACUUCGUG
RNAcentral lists this ribosomal RNA (484 nucleotides) under uncultured bacterium. Its description in RNAcentral is "partial 16S ribosomal RNA". It matches the Rfam family "Bacterial small subunit ribosomal RNA", at positions 30 to 507 of the family's 1533-position model. The record is from RNAcentral.